Carassius carassius (crucian carp) is the source of this 1830-nucleotide long non-coding RNA. RefSeq lists it as uncharacterized. The record is from RefSeq and is a predicted model, not a curated record. NCBI's taxonomy places the organism in Eukaryota, Metazoa, Chordata, Actinopteri, Cypriniformes, Cyprinidae. The transcript has 3 exons.
UCCCUCCGGCAUCAUUAGCCCUCUUGUGGGUGAUGUUCUCUCUCCUUAAGAUCCAUCUUUUUGCAAAAGGGUCCUGUAUUUUCUGCUUCAAAGCUGCCAAGGUAAUUAUUUUUAUUGCGGUGCAGAGCCCAUGGUGGAGUCGCUUUACCUCCCUCUAGGGAAUAAAAAUAACAACUACAGUCUGAUGGUGGUCAUCACUGUUAAAAAAGCAGCAGGUGUUACUGUUGACACUGUUGUAACCACUCAGCACUCUGAAGAAGAGGAGAUCGUAGACCUGAUGCAGUCUACUUGGCAUCAAAUGCAAGAAAAAGCAAACUGACGCAGAUGCUUCUAUGACUACAGCUUCAGUCAUAUCAUAGAAAUGGUACUCGUCUUUAUAACCAUGUCACAGUCAGUUCAAGCUUUAUUGUAAAAUGCCUCUUGGUCUUUGGACUUCAUCUGUGCAUUACAUAUAUCACAUGUCUGAGUAGGUAAUAGAUGAAAACAUACAUUUUUCUAACUGGGUAGUUUUAAAACAACCUGCGGUAAAAUUACUAUCUGGGAAAUUCUCAACUAAUUCAGCCAACACACUGUGUACCGGUAUUGAUACAUAAAGGGAUCUGAAUCAUAUACAGCAUUGUUUAUGCCCUGCAGCAGAAACAAAUUUGCUGCCAUGCACUAAAUGUCUGUUUUUUAGGAAAAUUUCAACCAUACCAACUGGCUCAGCCAAUGACCCCAAGGACUUACAUUAAAAAAUGGCCUGUGAUUGUUUUUCAGGACUCAACUCUCAUAUUGCUUAAACAAGACAGUAAGCUCAUUUCAAUUACCAUUUACCAAUAAAUUAAAAGGCCUUUUGGGUGCCCAGCCAUUAGCAUGCAUGUACCAGCAAGAAGACCAAAAUCAGUCAUUCUUACAAACUAUUGAGUGCCGCAACAAACCUAUUGAACUAAUCAGUAUAUCAGAUAUUUGGGAGUCUAUAGCCUUCAAAACCAAAUGCAAAAUGGUUGUGAACUUUGGUAUACUUAUUGGAUGGCAUUACUGGUAGCAAUGUAAGCAUCUCACACUUAACCUACAUAUUAUAUUCAGGUUUCAAUAAAUUUGGAUCAGGUAAUCUUGAGACUACUUCUAUAGUUAUCAAGCUUUGAUAUAUACACAAUAUAUUUUUUUAACAUUCCUGAACCCGAAGAGCCACUUUCCUAAAAGUUUAGUUGUAACCGUGCCCCAAACAUCUGGCAGUUAUUUUUUGAGGCAAGACACAAAAGGUCAUUGCAAAAAAUGCUGGCUGUUCACAGAGAUCUGUUUCCAAGCACAUUAAUAGAGAGGCGAAGGGAAGGAAAUGAUUUGGUAGAAAAAAAGUGUACAAGCAAUAGGGAUAACCGCACCCUGGAGAGGAUUGUGAAAGAAAGCCCAUUCAAAAAUGUGGGGGAGAUUUACAAAGAGUGGACUGCAGCUGGAGUCAGUGUUUCAAGAAUCACUACAGACGUAUGCAAGACAUGGGUUUCAGCUGUUGCAUUCCUUGUGUCAAGCCACUCUUGAACAAGACAGCAUCAGAAGCAUCUAAAAGGACUGGACUGCUGCUGAGUGGUCCAAAGUUAUGUUCUCUGAUGAAAGUAAAUCUUGCAUUUCCUUUGGAAAUCAGGGUCCCAGAGUCUGGAGGAAGAGAGGAGAGGCACACAAUCCACGUUGCUUGUGGUCCAGUGUAAAGUUUCCACAGUAAGUGAUGGUUUGGGGUGCCAUGUCAUCUGCUGGUGUUGGUCCACUGUGCUUUCUGAGGUUCAAGGUCAGUGCCACAGACUGAUUGACUCCAUGCCACGCCGCAUUGCUGGAGUAAUUCAGGCAAAAGGAGCCCCA